Molecule: long non-coding RNA, 664 nt
Filed under: Parus major (Great Tit)
Lineage: Eukaryota; Metazoa; Chordata; Aves; Passeriformes; Paridae
Description: lncRNA (ENSPMJG00000016049.1)
Source: RNAcentral
UGCUGAAAUUGGCAUUAGUGCCUCUCUAUGGACUAUCACACUAAAAAUAGAUCCAUCUCCUUUUUCCAUGUCUGAGCUGAAGUCUAAAUAAUUCCCAGAGCCGUAGUUUGAUGGAAAUCCUUUAGCAGAAGGUGCACAAGAGUUUUGUAACACUGUUUGCAGGCCUGCCAGCAGGGAGUGGGAGAGACCUGUCUGAAUCUGAAGAUCAGCAGUGAAUAGGAUACUGCUUUCCACCUAACAAGACUAAGCAGAUUUUCUCACUGAUUGCAUCUGAGAAAACCUACGGAGAGAGAGAGAGAGAAUAUGGAGAACAAAAUGUGUGCAACAUAUUUCUCUUGAUGUAUGUUUUCAUCCCAGCUGCUCUUGUAAUGGAGAUGUCUGAGAGCAUUUUGGACAUGAUGAACUGUGACCUUUAGUGAACAAUGGCCCAUCCCCAAUACACAGAGCUAAACUUUCUCAGACUAAGGCUUGUCCUCGUCCUCCCUACAGUGUGGCCAUCCAGGUUAGCAAUAAAAAUAAUGUCAAACAAUGAAGUAAAGCUGAGUCUGUUCUGCAAAGACUAGAGCAUCCCACCAGAGACAUCUGAGCCACAGAGAAAAAGCACACUGUCUUUAUUCACGGAAUGGUGAAUAAAUGGAUGCUCAUGCUGGCUGUGAUUUGUUUC